Molecule: transfer RNA, 85 nt
Filed under: Felis catus (domestic cat)
Lineage: Eukaryota; Metazoa; Chordata; Mammalia; Carnivora; Felidae
Also listed under: 2 other names
Rfam family: tRNA
About the family: Transfer RNA (tRNA) molecules are approximately 80 nucleotides in length.
Source: Rfam by way of RNAcentral
GCCUGGGUGGCUCAGUUGGUUAAGCACCUGACUUGGGCUCAGGAAUUAAUCUCAGGGUUUGUGAGUUGGAGCCCUGCCUCGGGCU